Molecule: ribosomal RNA, 899 nt
Filed under: Stemphylium eturmiunum
Lineage: Eukaryota; Fungi; Ascomycota; Dothideomycetes; Pleosporales; Pleosporaceae
Description: LSU rRNA
Rfam family: Eukaryotic large subunit ribosomal RNA
Source: RNAcentral
CUAGCAUAUCAAUAAGCGGAGGAAAAGAAACCAACAGGGAUUGCCCUAGUAACGGCGAGUGAAGCGGCAACAGCUCAAAUUUGAAAUCUGGCUCUUUUAGGGUCCGAGUUGUAAUUUGCAGAGGGCGCUUUGGCUUUGGCAGCGGUCCAAGUUCCUUGGAACAGGACGUCACAGAGGGUGAGAAUCCCGUACGUGGUCGCUAGCUAUUGCCGUGUAAAGCCCCUUCGACGAGUCGAGUUGUUUGGGAAUGCAGCUCUAAAUGGGAGGUAAAUUUCUUCUAAAGCUAAAUAUUGGCCAGAGACCGAUAGCGCACAAGUAGAGUGAUCGAAAGAUGAAAAGCACUUUGGAAAGAGAGUCAAACAGCACGUGAAAUUGUUGAAAGGGAAGCGCUUGCAGCCAGACUUGCUUGCAGUUGCUCAUCCGGGCUUUUGCCCGGUGCACUCUUCUGUAGGCAGGCCAGCAUCAGUUUGGGCGGUGGGAUAAAGGUCUCUGUCACGUACCUCUCUUCGGGGAGGCCUUAUAGGGGAGACGACAUACCACCAGCCUAGACUGAGGUCCGCGCAUCUGCUAGGAUGCUGGCGUAAUGGCUGUAAGCGGCCCGUCUUGAAACACGGACCAAGGAGUCUAACAUCUAUGCGAGUGUUUGGGUGUCAAGCCCGAGCGCGUAAUGAAAGUGAACGGAGGUGGGAACCCGCAAGGGUGCACCAUCGACCGAUCCUGAAGUUUUCGGAAGGAUUUGAGUAAGAGCAUGGCUGUUGGGACCCGAAAGAUGGUGAACUAUGCUUGAAUAGGGUGAAGCCAGAGGAAACUCUGGUGGAGGCUCGCAGCGGUUCUGACGUGCAAAUCGAUCGUCAAAUUUGGGCAUAGGGGCGAAAGACUAAUCGAACUAUCUAGUAGCU